UACGUAGGGUGCAAGCGUUGUCCGGAAUUAUUGGGCGUAAAGAGCUUGUAGGCGGUUUGUCGCGUCUGCUGUGAAAUUUCGGGGCUCAACCCCGAACUUGCAGUGGGUACGGGCAGACUAGAGUGUGGUAGGGGAGAGUGGAAUUCCUGGUGUAGCGGUGAAAUGCGCAGAUAUCAGGAAGAACACCCGUGGCGAAGGCGGCUCUCUGGGACGGUACUGACGCUGAGACGCGAAAGCGUGGGGAGCGAACAGG
This 253-nucleotide ribosomal RNA is filed under the name uncultured bacterium. RNAcentral describes it as "partial 16S ribosomal RNA". It matches the Rfam family "Bacterial small subunit ribosomal RNA", at positions 524 to 776 of the family's 1533-position model. The record is from RNAcentral.